AAUUCGCCCUUCAUGGAGGGUGAGAAUCCCGUCCGGUUGAUCAUUUGCGUUUUACGAUACGCUUUCUAAGGGUCAAGUUGUUUGGGAUUGCAGCUUAAAAUGGGAGAUAAAUUUCUCCUAAGGCUAAAUAACGGCGAGAGACCGAUAGCGAACAAGUACCGUGAGGGAAAGAUGAAAAGAACUUUGAAAAGAGAGUUAAACAGUACGUGAAAUUGUUGAAAGGGAAACGAUUGAAGCCAGUCGUACCUUCGGGUAAUCAGCCUUUCGGGUGCGAUUCUGUGGAGUUUGAGGAGCUUUAAC
Molecule: ribosomal RNA, 300 nt
Filed under: uncultured Glomus
Lineage: Eukaryota; Fungi; Glomeromycota; Glomeromycetes; Glomerales; Glomeraceae
Description: partial 28S large subunit ribosomal RNA
Rfam family: Eukaryotic large subunit ribosomal RNA
Source: RNAcentral